This 473-nucleotide ribosomal RNA is filed under the name uncultured bacterium. RNAcentral describes it as "bacterial SSU rRNA". It matches the Rfam family "Bacterial small subunit ribosomal RNA", at positions 355 to 825 of the family's 1533-position model. The record is from RNAcentral.
UAGGGAAUUUUGGGCAAUGGGCGAAAGCCUGACCCAGCAACGCCGCGUGUGGGAUGAAGGCCCUCGGGUCGUAAACCACUGUCAGGAGGAAAGAAAAGUCGGCCGGAUAAUACUCGGUCGACCUGACGGUACCUCCAAAGGAAGCACCGGCUAACUCCGUGCCAGCAGCCGCGGUAAUACGGAGGGUGCAAGCGUUGUUCGGAAUUACUGGGCGUAAAGCGCGUGUAGGUGGUCGAGUAAGUCGAAUGUGAAAGCCCCGGGCUCAACCCGGGAAGUGCAUCCGAAACUGCUCGACUAGAGUCCCGGAGAGGAAGGCAGAAUUCCCAAUGUAGGGGUGAAAUCCGUAGAUAUUGGGAGGAAUACCGGUGGCGAAGGCGGCCUUCUGGACGGUGACUGACACUCAGACGCGAAAGCGUGGGGAGCAAACAGGAUUAGAUACCCCGGUAGUCCCUGAGCGGGCUGGCAAGGCGCAU